Molecule: transfer RNA, 76 nt
Filed under: Oxalobacteraceae bacterium
Lineage: Bacteria; Pseudomonadati; Pseudomonadota; Betaproteobacteria; Burkholderiales; Oxalobacteraceae
Also listed under: 3 other names
Description: tRNA-Phe
Rfam family: tRNA
About the family: Transfer RNA (tRNA) molecules are approximately 80 nucleotides in length. Their secondary structure includes four short double-helical elements and three loops (D, anti-codon, and T loops).
Source: RNAcentral
GGCCUGGUAGCUCAGUUGGUAGAGCAGAGGACUGAAAAUCCUUGUGUCGGUGGUUCGAUUCCGCCCCAGGCCACCA